ACGUUUUGCAUUUACUAAAGAGAUAAAAAAUUCGACUUUUAUAGAAGUAGAAAAAAAUUACGUUAAAAUUUGCGAAAAUUAUACCAUGGCUUCUUGUGAAAUGUACAACAGGACAAAAAUAGUUGAAAAAAAAAUCGUUAAUACCUAAGAAAUUGCGUCUUGGUAUAGACUUCAUUUGGAUUUGUAUUCCUGUUUCUUUCUGUAUUAUUUUGUUAACUUCGUAUGGGAUAAUGAAGAAACAGACUGAGUAUAGCAGCAAAGAAAUCCCGAAAUUUUCCACCUUAUUUUGGAUUAUAUUCAGAAACUUUCUUGGACAAGACACAGAUGUAGAUCGCUAUUUUCUCCUAACGUUUCGUAUCAUAAUUGGCUGUUGGAUCCUGAUUGCAUUUGUCUUGAAAUCAGCAUACGUCGGCACUUUGCCAUCGUUCAUGAUUAAUCCUGGAACCGAAGUUAUUCCUCGGACAUUUCAAGAAUUGAUUCACUCAGUGAAAGCGGGGCGAUACAACAUCACUU
This is a long non-coding RNA of Centruroides sculpturatus (bark scorpion), 513 nucleotides long. RefSeq lists it as uncharacterized. The transcript has 4 exons. NCBI's taxonomy places the organism in Eukaryota, Metazoa, Arthropoda, Arachnida, Scorpiones, Buthidae. The record is from RefSeq and is a predicted model, not a curated record.